Molecule: non-coding RNA, 75 nt
Filed under: Paraphysomonas bandaiensis
Lineage: Eukaryota; Chrysophyceae; Chromulinales; Paraphysomonadaceae
Source: RNAcentral
GAGGAGCGAGUGAAUACCAGUGCAUAUAAGCGGUUCUUGAAGGCUAAGUGGGAUACUGCGGACAGCGAUGGCAGU